Daphnia pulex (common water flea) is the source of this 731-nucleotide long non-coding RNA. RefSeq lists it as uncharacterized. The transcript has 3 exons. The record is from RefSeq and is a predicted model, not a curated record. Lineage: Eukaryota; Metazoa; Arthropoda; Branchiopoda; Diplostraca; Daphniidae.
UUUAUUUUGACGACAGCUUAAUGGUUAAGGCGCUAUCGCUUACUUCCGGUAUACUUCCGGAAAAUUUGCAUAAAACUAGCAAGUGAGCUUUGUUCUCUGUAGAACUCUAAAGACUCCAUGCUAAUUUUAAGCAAAGAGAAAUGGUAUUAUCAAGAUUUGUGAGCAUCUUAAGACCAGUCCUUCAAAUACUGAGUUUUGAGACGUGUCAAAUAGAUGGCGACAUGGCGUGUUGAUGGUGUCAGUUAGGCUUAUGAUGUCAAAAGUUAAGCUAUCUUUUCUUCAAGAAUUAUCAAUGAUUUAAUGAAUUCAUAGGAGGAAACGUGAAAGCAUAGACUCGUAGUCUAUGGUGAAAGGGUCGUGCAGCCUACAUCAAUGUUCAAAAUCAUUGUAUUCUACUAAAUGUGCCAUCGAAAUGAUACAGGCAACAACCAACACUAGCUUUAUUACAAUCACCAACCCCAUCAUGGAUCAAUCUCUCAUUCCAUCUUCUAAAGAACCUUGGAUAACAGAUCAGUAGUUUCGUGUGUAAGUUCACUUCUCAUGUCACUGAACUUUCUUCAUUGCAGUCUCAUAUGUAUUUAAAGUACUGAUCUGCACUUACAUCUAUUUAAUAAUUAAGAGACAAUUUCAAUUGUAUACUCAUGCUGAUAUAACUGUUAAAUUAUUCUUCUAGAUCAUAGACGUCAAGCAAAUUGAUGACACAAAUUAUAAACAAGGUGACUUAUUUUUCU